RNAcentral lists this ribosomal RNA (224 nucleotides) under uncultured bacterium. Its description in RNAcentral is "partial 16S ribosomal RNA". It matches the Rfam family "Bacterial small subunit ribosomal RNA", at positions 111 to 334 of the family's 1533-position model. The record is from RNAcentral.
UAACGCGUGGGUAACCGUGCCUCAUACAGGGGAGUAACAGUUGGAAACGACUGCUAAUACCGCAUAAGCGCACAGGAUCGCAUGAUCCGGUGUGAAAAACUCCGGUGGUAUGAGAUGGAUCCGCGUCUGAUUAGCCAGUUGGCAGGGUAACGGCCUACCAAAGCGACGAUCAGUAGCCGACCUGAGAGGGUGACCGGCCACAUUGGGACUGAGACACGGCCCAA